RNAcentral lists this ribosomal RNA (340 nucleotides) under uncultured bacterium. RNAcentral's name for it is "bacterial SSU rRNA". It matches the Rfam family "Bacterial small subunit ribosomal RNA", at positions 28 to 353 of the family's 1533-position model. The record is from RNAcentral.
GACGAACGCUGGCGGCGUGCUUAACACAUGCAAGUCGAGCGGUAAGGCCCUUUCGGGGGUACGACGAGCGGCGAACGGGUAGGAGUAACAACGUGGGUGGACCUCGCCCUCCAGCUCUGGGAGUAAAGCCUCGGGAAACCGGGGUACGUAAUAACCGGAGUAUGGCUCCAUGACGCAUGUUGUGGGGUGGAAAGACCUUGUGCGGCUGAGGAUGGGCCCGCGGCCUAUCAGCUUGUUGGUGGGGUGAUGGCCUACCAAGGCGACGACGGGUAGCCGGCCUGAGAGGGCGACCGGCCACACUGGGACUGAGACACGGCCCAGACUCCUACGGGAGGCAGCA